AUUGAACGCUGGCGGCAUGCUUUACACAUGCAAGUCGAACGGCAGCGCGGGGGCAACCCUGGCGGCGAGUGGCGAACGGGUGAGUAAUGUAUCGGAACGUAUCCUGUAAUGGGGGAUAACCAGUCGAAAGAUUGGGUAAUACCGCAUACGCACGAGAGUGGAAAGUAGGGGAUCGCAAGACCUUACGUUAUAGGAGCGGCCGAUAUCUGAUUAGCUAGUUGGUGGGGUAAAGGCCUACCAAGGCGACGAUCAGUAGCUGGUCUGAGAGGACGACCAGCCACACUGGGACUGAGACACGGCCCAGACUCCUACGGGAGGCAGCAGUGGGGAAUUUUGGACAAUGGGCGAAAGCCUGAUCCAGCCAUGCCGCGUGCAGGAAGAAGGCCUUCGGGUUGUAAACUGCUUUAGUCUAGGAAAAAGGGGUGCGAGGUUAAUACCCUCGCGCUUUGAUGGUACUGGAAGAAUAAGCACCGGCUAACUACGUG
Molecule: ribosomal RNA, 485 nt
Filed under: uncultured bacterium
Lineage: Bacteria
Description: bacterial SSU rRNA
Rfam family: Bacterial small subunit ribosomal RNA
Source: RNAcentral